Molecule: ribosomal RNA, 484 nt
Filed under: uncultured bacterium
Lineage: Bacteria
Description: partial 16S ribosomal RNA
Rfam family: Bacterial small subunit ribosomal RNA
Source: RNAcentral
AUUGAACGCUGGCGGCAUGCUUUACACAUGCAAGUCGAACGGCAGCGCGGGCUUCGGCCUGGCGGCGAGUGGCGAACGGGUGAGUGAUGCAUCGGAACGUGCCCAGUAGUGGGGGAUAGCCCGGCGAAAGCCGGAUUAAUACCGCAUACGACCUGAGGGUGAAAGCGGGGGACCGAAAGGCCUCGCGCUAUUGGAGCGGCCGAUGUCGGAUUAGCUAGUUGGUGGGGUAAAGGCUUACCAAGGCGACGAUCCGUAGCUGGUCUGAGAGGACGACCAGCCACACUGGGACUGAGACACGGCCCAGACUCCUACGGGAGGCAGCAGUGGGGAAUUUUGGACAAUGGGGGCAACCCUGAUCCAGCCAUGCCGCGUGCGGGAAGAAGGCCUUCGGGUUGUAAACCGCUUUUGUUCGGGAAGAAAUCCUCUGGGCUAAUACCCCGGGGGGAUGACGGUACCGGAAGAAUAAGCACCGGCUAACUACGUG